RNAcentral lists this ribosomal RNA (253 nucleotides) under uncultured bacterium. Its description in RNAcentral is "partial 16S ribosomal RNA". It matches the Rfam family "Bacterial small subunit ribosomal RNA", at positions 524 to 776 of the family's 1533-position model. The record is from RNAcentral.
UACGGAGGGUGCGAGCGUUGUCCGGAAUCACUGGGCGUAAAGGGCGCGUAGGCGGCGUCGGCAGUCUGUGGUGAAAGCUCGUGGCUCAACUGCGAGUCGGCCAUGGAUACUCCGAUGCUUGAGCACUGUAGAGGCAGGUGGAAUUCCGGGUGUAGCGGUGGAAUGCGUAGAGAUCCGGAAGAACACCGGUGGCGAAGGCGGCCUGCUGGGCAGUAGCUGACGCUGAGGCGCGACAGCGUGGGGAGCAAACAGG